RNAcentral lists this ribosomal RNA (1499 nucleotides) under uncultured bacterium. RNAcentral describes it as "bacterial SSU rRNA". It matches the Rfam family "Bacterial small subunit ribosomal RNA". The record is from RNAcentral.
AGAGUUUGAUUCUGGCUCAGAUUGAACGCUGGCGGCAGGCCUAACACAUGCAAGUCGAACGGUAACAGGAAGCAGCUUGCUGCUUUGCUGACGAGUGGCGGACGGGUGAGUAAUGUCUGGGAAACUGCCUGAUGGAGGGGGAUAACUACUGGAAACGGUAGCUAAUACCGCAUAACGUCGCAAGACCAAAGAGGGGGACCUUAGGGCCUCUUGCCAUCGGAUGUGCCCAGAUGGGAUUAGCUAGUAGGUGGGGUAACGGCUCACCUAGGCGACGAUCCCUAGCUGGUCUGAGAGGAUGACCAGCCACACUGGAACUGAGACACGGUCCAGACUCCUACGGGAGGCAGCAGUGGGGAAUAUUGCACAAUGGGCGCAAGCCUGAUGCAGCCAUGCCGCGUGUAUGAAGAAGGCCUUCGGGUUGUAAAGUACUUUCAGCGGGGAGGAAGGGAGUAAAGUUAAUACCUUUGCUCAUUGACGUUACCCGCAGAAGAAGCACCGGCUAACUCCGUGCCAGCAGCCGCGGUAAUACGGAGGGUGCAAGCGUUAAUCGGAAUUACUGGGCGUAAAGCGCACGCAGGCGGUUUGUUAAGUCAGAUGUGAAAUCCCCGGGCUCAACCUGGGAACUGCAUCUGAUACUGGCAAGCUUGAGUCUCGUAGAGGGGGGUAGAAUUCCAGGUGUAGCGGUGAAAUGCGUAGAGAUCUGGAGGAAUACCGGUGGCGAAGGCGGCCCCCUGGACGAAGACUGACGCUCAGGUGCGAAAGCGUGGGGAGCAAACAGGAUUAGAUACCCUGGUAGUCCACGCCGUAAACGAUGUCGACUUGGAGGUUGUGCCCUUGAGGCGUGGCUUCCGGAGCUAACGCGUUAAGUCGACCGCCUGGGGAGUACGGCCGCAAGGUUAAAACUCAAAUGAAUUGACGGGGGCCCGCACAAGCGGUGGAGCAUGUGGUUUAAUUCGAUGCAACGCGAAGAACCUUACCUGGUCUUGACAUCCACGGAAGUUUUCAGAGAUGAGAAUGUGCCUUCGGGAACCGUGAGACAGGUGCUGCAUGGCUGUCGUCAGCUCGUGUUGUGAAAUGUUGGGUUAAGUCCCGCAACGAGCGCAACCCUUAUCCUUUGUUGCCAGCGGUCCGGCCGGGAACUCAAAGGAGACUGCCAGUGAUAAACUGGAGGAAGGUGGGGAUGACGUCAAGUCAUCAUGGCCCUUACGACCAGGGCUACACACGUGCUACAAUGGCGCAUACAAAGAGAAGCGACCUCGCGAGAGCAAGCGGACCUCAUAAAGUGCGUCGUAGUCCGGAUUGGAGUCUGCAACUCGACUCCAUGAAGUCGGAAUCGCUAGUAAUCGUGGAUCAGAAUGCCACGGUGAAUACGUUCCCGGGCCUUGUACACACCGCCCGUCACACCAUGGGAGUGGGUUGCAAAAGAAGUAGGUAGCUUAACCUUCGGGAGGGCGCUUACCACUUUGUGAUUCAUGACUGGGGUGAAGUCGUAACAAGGU